GCAACCUGGCAUAAAAAACC
RNAcentral lists this unclassified non-coding RNA (20 nucleotides) under Cloning vector pJW20. RNAcentral's name for it is "gRNA variable region". The record is from RNAcentral.